Molecule: ribosomal RNA, 122 nt
Filed under: Staphylococcus equorum
Lineage: Bacteria; Bacillati; Bacillota; Bacilli; Caryophanales; Staphylococcaceae
Description: partial 23S ribosomal RNA
Rfam family: Bacterial large subunit ribosomal RNA
Source: RNAcentral
AUGAGAUUUCCCAACUUCGGUUAUAAGAUCCCUCAAAGAUGAUGAGGUUAAUAGGUUCGAGGUGGAAGCAUAGCGAUAUGUGGAGCUGACGAAUACUAAUCGAUCGAAGACUUAAUCAAAUU